UACGGAGGGGCUAGCGUUGUUCGGAAUUACUGGGCGUAAAGCGCACGUAGGCGGCUUUGUAAGUUAGAGGUGAAAGCCCGGGGCUCAACUCCGGAAUUGCCUUUAAGACUGCAUCGCUAGAAUUGUGGAGAGGUGAGUGGGAAUUCCGAGUGUAGAGGUGAAAUUGUAGAUAUUCGGAAGAACACCAGUGGCGAAGGCGACUCACUGGACACAUAUUGACGCUGAGGUGCGAAAGCGUGGGGAGCAAACAGG
This 252-nucleotide ribosomal RNA is filed under the name uncultured bacterium. Its description in RNAcentral is "partial 16S ribosomal RNA". It matches the Rfam family "Bacterial small subunit ribosomal RNA", at positions 524 to 776 of the family's 1533-position model. The record is from RNAcentral.